UCCGUAGGCGGAUUAAUAAGUCAGAGGUGAAAUCCCACAGCUUAACUGUGGAACUGCCUUUGAUACUGUUAGUCUUGAGUUAUAUGGAAGUAGAUAGAAUGUGUAGUGUAGCGGUGAAAUGCAUAGAUAUUACACAGAAUACCGAUUGCGAAGGCAGUCUACUACGUAUAUACUGACGCUAAUGGACGAAAGCGUGGGGAGCGAACAGGAUUAGAUACCCCUGGUAGUCC
Molecule: ribosomal RNA, 230 nt
Filed under: uncultured bacterium
Lineage: Bacteria
Description: partial 16S ribosomal RNA
Rfam family: Bacterial small subunit ribosomal RNA
Source: RNAcentral